AGGCUGUGGUGUGGGCAUUUGAGAAGUAGCUAGUUGAAAUGCUCCCAUGCUUCAAAGAACAAAUCUCCAUCUCUUUGUUGGAAGUUUUGAAUAUCCUUCCUCAGUUG
Molecule: small nucleolar RNA, 107 nt
Organism: Corylus avellana
Lineage: Eukaryota; Viridiplantae; Streptophyta; Magnoliopsida; Fagales; Betulaceae
Source: RefSeq, a predicted model, not a curated record